This is a long non-coding RNA of Oryzias melastigma (Indian medaka), 648 nucleotides long. RefSeq lists it as uncharacterized. The record is from RefSeq and is a predicted model, not a curated record. The transcript is spliced from 3 exons. NCBI's taxonomy places the organism in Eukaryota, Metazoa, Chordata, Actinopteri, Beloniformes, Adrianichthyidae.
CCUAAAAACCCUGAGGACCUGGAGGUGGAGUCCCGUGGGUUUGCUGGGCUGGCACAGCACAGAGUUUUUCCUUAAAGCUGCAGGUGCCAUCGAUGGAUGCCACAUCAGGAUCAUACCUCCUGGUGACCCUGGUAUCAUUCCAAAAGCGCCCUCGAUUAUAGAGCGUGCUUUGGAAUGAUGAAGACAAGAUUCAGAGGCAUCUUCCUGCAAGUGCUGGAGGUUGUCACAGCUUGUGCCAUCCUCCACAAUAUCUGCUCCUGUGCUGAUGACACCGAGGCCCCAGAGGAUGAUGUGGAGGUGAUGAUGAGGAGGAAGCUGGUCUGAAGGUCACCAGUGGUGCUCUCUGGCAGGACCAACUACCUACUGAGGUUUCUGCCCUGGGGGACGUACCACCUGACCUUGAUUACUUUUAACAGCAUCCGUCCACAGCCAACCCUGUAAACCCUGGAGAUGGUCGAUGCAGUCUACAGUGAAGAUGCUUCCUGAAACUCUGGAGACCAUCCUGCAAGAUGUUCCAAUCACCACCCAGAAAGUUCCAUCCCCGCGUCUCAGUUGAAGCAUCUCAUCCAUGUCGACCAUCUUUGUAAAUAGUGUUACAAUGAAUGACGAUUACUGUGUUGGAUUUAUACCUUUAUUUAUAUUAAAAAA